Diabrotica virgifera virgifera (western corn rootworm) is the source of this 977-nucleotide long non-coding RNA. RefSeq lists it as uncharacterized. The transcript is spliced from 2 exons. The record is from RefSeq and is a predicted model, not a curated record. NCBI's taxonomy places the organism in Eukaryota, Metazoa, Arthropoda, Insecta, Coleoptera, Chrysomelidae.
UGUAAAUAAAUUGAAACAAGUAUUGUAUGUACUGUGUUAUAAUUUAAAACGCUUAAUUAUGCUUACAAAAAUUAAGCUCAAAAAGAUAUACUUGUUUACAGUGCAAAUUAAUGGCAAUAGGGAUUUACGAUUUCAUUUGCAGGAAAAACAUGGGCAACCUACCCAUUUGGUAAAAUUUCAAUUCAAAAACUCUUUAGAUUUUACUGUGUGGAUGGCACAGGAAGAGAAACAAAAUAAUAUUCAGUACUGCAGUCACAGGAGUACAAAAACAUGAAGCAUCUCAUUAUGUAUGUAUGCCAUUGUCAAACAAUAAUUAUUGUACAAAACAAGAUAGAGACACAGCUUUAAAAUCCCAAGGAUCCUGCGAAAAGAAAAGUGAAAAUGGUGUCUCAAUUAAUGUGGUAUAGAUAGACAUUUUUCUUCAUUUUAGUAGUAAAUAAUUACAGUAGAACCCCGCAAAUCCGAACUAAUUGGGGGGACAGCCUGUUCGGAUUCCGAAAAGUUCGGAUUAUCCGAAAGUUAGCCUUAACUAGUAGUUCAAAGCUUUCAUUGUGAUUUUGAGUAGCCAAACGUUCUCGCAAGAGUAUGGACAAUAUUUUUUGACUCAAGUUGACUACGAGAGAACCAAAGUAAGUUUGUGUUUAACCUUUAUAAACCUAUAUAUUAAAGUAUAAUAUUUAUUUUAAGAAAUUUUAAAUGUCAAAGUCCUAGUAAACCUACAUUGUCCAAUUUUCUGGCUUUACUCUGUAUAAUAAACAUGUUUUUAAGUUUUUGUCUUGAAUUUUUAAAUUUUUUUCACUUUCUGUUGGUUCGGAUUCGCGGGGUUCGGAUUUACGGGGUUCUACUGUAUAUAAUUAUUUAGAAUAUUAAUAUGUAUUAGUUUUAAUAGUAUUAAUAUGUAUUGUAUGAAUAAUUUCCAUCAUGUAUCUGCUGGCUAAAGCAACAAAAUAAAUAAAAAUGAAAAAACAUUUCAGUGA